This 253-nucleotide ribosomal RNA is filed under the name uncultured bacterium. Its description in RNAcentral is "partial 16S ribosomal RNA". It matches the Rfam family "Bacterial small subunit ribosomal RNA", at positions 524 to 776 of the family's 1533-position model. The record is from RNAcentral.
UACGUAGGGUGCAGGCGUUAAUCGGAAUUACUGGGCGUAAAGCGUGCGCAGGCGGUUUCUUAAGUCAGAUGUGAAAGCCCCGGGCUUAACCUGGGAACUGCGUUUGAAACUGGGAGACUUGAGUGUGGCAGAGGAAGGUGGAAUUCCACGCGUAGCGGUGAAAUGCGUAGAGAUGCGGAGGAACACCGAUGGCGAAGGCAGCCCCCUGGGCUAGCACUGACGCUCAGGCACGAAAGCGUGGGGAGCAAACAGG